This 24-nucleotide transfer RNA is filed under the name Bromus danthoniae. Its description in RNAcentral is "partial tRNA-Leu". Lineage: Eukaryota; Viridiplantae; Streptophyta; Magnoliopsida; Poales; Poaceae. The record is from RNAcentral.
GCCGCCAUGGUGANAUUGGUAGAC